UACGGAGGAUGCGAGCGUUAUCCGGAUUUAUUGGGUUUAAAGGGUGCGUAGGCGGCCUGCCAAGUCAGCGGUAAAAUUGCGGGGCUCAACCCCGUACAGCCGUUGAAUCUGCCGGGCUCGAGUGGGCGAGAAGUAUGCGGAAUGCGUGGUGUAGCGGUGAAAUGCAUAGAUAUCACGCAGAACCCCGAUUGCGAAGGCAGCAUACCGGCGCCCGACUGACGCUGAGGCACGAAAGUGCGGGGAUCAAACAGG
RNAcentral lists this ribosomal RNA (252 nucleotides) under uncultured bacterium. RNAcentral describes it as "partial 16S ribosomal RNA". It matches the Rfam family "Bacterial small subunit ribosomal RNA", at positions 524 to 776 of the family's 1533-position model. The record is from RNAcentral.